This 263-nucleotide ribosomal RNA is filed under the name uncultured bacterium. Its description in RNAcentral is "partial 16S ribosomal RNA". It matches the Rfam family "Bacterial small subunit ribosomal RNA", at positions 793 to 1055 of the family's 1533-position model. The record is from RNAcentral.
GUCCACACCGUAAACGAUGGUCACUAGUUGUCGGGGGAUUCGACCCCCUCGGCAACGACGCUAACGCAUUAAGUGACCCACCUGGGGAGUACGCUCGCAAGGGUGAAACUCAAAGGAAUUGACGGGGCCCGCACAAGCGGUGGAGCAUGUGGUUUAAUUCGAUGCAACGCGAAGAACCUUACCUGGGCUCGAAGUGCAGUAUAAACCCAUGAAAGUGGGCUAUCCCUUCGGGGAAUGCUGUAUAGGUGCUGCAUGGCUGUCGU